AGGGAGCGUAGGCCGGAGAUUAAGCGUGUUGUGAAAUGUAGACGCUCAACGUCUGCACUGCAGCGCGAACUGGUUUCCUUGAGUACGCAUAAAGUGGGCGGAACUCGUGGUGUAGCGGUGAAAUGCUUAGAUAUCACGAAGAACUCCGAUUGCGAAGGCAGCUCACUGGGGCGCAACUGACGCUGAAGCUCGAAAGCGCGGGUAUCGAACAGGAUUAGAUACCCUGGUAGUCCGCGCGGUAAACGAUGGAUGCCCGCUGUUGGGCCAACUGGUUCAGCGGCCAAGCGAAAGCAUUAAGCAUCCCACCUGGGGAGUACGCCGGCAACGGUGAAACUCAAAGGAAUUGACGGGGGCCCGCACAAGCGGAGGAACAUGUGGUUUAAUUCGAUGAUACGCGAGGAACCUUACCCGGGCUUGAAUUGCAGAGGAAGGAUUUGGAGACAAUGACGCCCUUCGGGGCCUCUGUGAAGGUGCUGCAUGGUUGUCGUCAGCUCGUGCCGUGAGGUGUCGGCUUAAGUGCCAUAACGAGCGCAACCCCUCUCCAUAGUUGCCAUCAGGUGAAGCUGGGCACUCUGUGGACACUGCCACCGUAAGGUGCGAGGAAGGUGGGGAUGACGUCAAAUCAGCACGGCCCUUACGUCCGGGGCUACACACGUGUUACAAUGGCAGGUACAGAGAGCCGGUCGUAUGCGAAUACGAUCCAAUCCUUAAAGCCUGUCUCAGUUCGGACUGGGGUCUGCAACCCGACCCCACGAAGC
This 758-nucleotide ribosomal RNA is filed under the name uncultured Bacteroidota bacterium. RNAcentral's name for it is "bacterial SSU rRNA". It matches the Rfam family "Bacterial small subunit ribosomal RNA", at positions 564 to 1326 of the family's 1533-position model. Lineage: Bacteria; Pseudomonadati; Bacteroidota. The record is from RNAcentral.